RNA transcript from Prunus dulcis (almond), 1551 nucleotides. It is a transcript of the gene named DNA-directed RNA polymerase I subunit 2-like, with no coding region annotated. The record is from RefSeq and is a predicted model, not a curated record. NCBI's taxonomy places the organism in Eukaryota, Viridiplantae, Streptophyta, Magnoliopsida, Rosales, Rosaceae. The transcript has 4 exons.
ACACAGCAUCUAACAAAUACUCAGAAGGUUGUGGGAACACUGUAAGCAUCAUUCCUUUUCCUAUUCUUGGAAGAGCAUCACAACUCAGAUUUCAAUGUUCACCAUAUUGUCAUUCAUAUCAGUGUAUUAGUGAAUUUAUAUGGAAGCAGAGAUAACAUGUAGGAAAUCUAGCUGUACCAUUCAUUUUAUUUAGAACCCUGCAAUCUUAACUGAAACAUUUGUUGCAUGCCAUUAAGAUAUAAAUUUUGUGGCACUUUUCUGAAGACCAGCAACAAAUAAAGAGGAUACCAUGAUUCUAAACAAGUCAUCUGUGGAGCGUGGAAUGUUUCAUUGGACAAAUAUAUCAGGUUUCUUCUUGCAAUGUUGCACUUGCACUGCACGACUAUAAAUAGCUUUUUAAAAACUUUUUUGUUCAUCUUUUAGGUCUAUUUUAGAUGGCACUAUGAACAUUCAUGUUCCCAAAAGUAUCGUUCAUUUGCUCUGCUUUUUAUUAAUUUUUCACUGGUGCUUCUUUAGCUCACCAAAUGAUGGGUUUUGCAGACAGAAACAGUUGACUUAUCUGAUCAAAAUAGCAGGUCAGAUGGUUCUCGGAAAUAUUUCAUGGAAAGUAACAUUGAGAGGCAUCGUUCAAUUGAUUCAGAUGGGCUUCCUUGUGUUGGUCAGACAAUAAAACCAGAUGAAGAAUAUUAUAGCAUCUAUAAUGAGGUAAAUAAUGAGCAACAUGCCGUCAAAUAGAAAGGUCCAGAGGAUGUUAUCGUUGACUAUGUUGCUAUAGAUGGGAAGAAGCAUCUUCAGAAUCAUCCGCAGAAGGGUUUCAUUUCCUAUGUUAAAUUCUUUUCUUUUGAGCACAUACGCUUUUGACACCCUAGAAACCCUGUCAUUAGUGAUAAGUUUAGCAGCCGACAUGGACAAAAAGGUGUUUGCUCCCAGUUGUGGCCUGAUAUUGAUAUUCCAUUUUCUGAGGUUACGGGAAUGUGUCCAGAUCUUAUCAUCAAUCCACAUGCAUUUCCUUUAAGGAUGGCAAUAGGAAUGCUCUUGGAAUCGAUUGCUGCAAAGGUUCAUUCCACUGGAAUGGUAGAUCAGAUCACCAGCCAGCCCAUCAAUGGACGAAAGGGAGGUGGAGGUAUAUGUUUUGGUGAAAUAGAACGAGACUCGUUGCUUGCGCAUGGGGCAGCCUAUCUAUUGCAUGAUAGGCUUCAUACAUGUUCUGAUUAUCACAUUGCUGCUGUAUGUUCCACAUGUGGAAGCAUCCUAACACCCUCAGUCAUCAAGCCAGAGAAACGGGUUGCACGUGCAGUUAAGGGACUGCCCCCUGUAAGAGCUCCCAAGGUCUUCUGUCAUGCUUCUGAUACGAAUAAAGGGAUGGAGACAGUUGCAAUACCCUAUGUCUUCAAAUACUUAGCUGCUGAGUUAGCAGCUAUGAGCAUAAAAAUGACCCUAAGGCUAAGUAUUUGAAGCUUGAUCCUGUUCCUAGAGGGAGGAUCAGUGUAAAAAUUAUACACUGAGAUGAAUAGAUCUUAAAGUUUUUUUUAUUAGUUUUUUAUUCUUUUC